Molecule: ribosomal RNA, 1945 nt
Filed under: human gut metagenome
Description: bacterial LSU rRNA
Rfam family: Bacterial large subunit ribosomal RNA
Source: RNAcentral
UCAAGCAAGAAAGAGCGCAGGGUGGAUGCCUUGGCACUAAGAGCCGAAGAAAGACGUGAUAAGCUGCGAAAAGCUGCGGGGAGGAGCAAAUGUCCAUUGAUCCGCAGAUGUCUGAAUGGGGAAACCCGUCUGGAAGAACUCCAGUCACUGCAUGCUGAAUACAUAGGCAUGCAGGGGGAACCCGGUGAACUGAAACAUCUAAGUAGCCGGAGGAAAAGAAAGAAAAAUCGAUUUCCAAAGUAGCGGCGAGCGAAAUGGAAGGAGCCCAAACCGGGAUGCGUGCAUUCCGGGGUUAUGGACCGCAAGAAGUGACCCGUAAGAUAGAAGAAUGGCAUUGGGAAAGCCAGCCACAGAGGGUGAAAGCCCCGUAUUCGAAAUCAGAAGGGAGCGAGCGGAAUCCGAAGUACUACGAGACACGUGGAACCUUGUAGGAAAUCGGGGGGACCACCCCCCAAGGCUAAAUACUCCUUAGUGACCGAUAGCGCAUAGUACUGUGAAGGAACGGUGAAAAGAACCCCGGGAGGGGAGUGAAAGAGAACCUGAAACCCUGUGUUUACAAGCUGUGGAAGAGCUUUACAUGCUCAACCGCGUACUUUUUGUAGAACGGUCCGGCGAGUUACUCUUACUGGCAAGGUUAAGCACCAAAGGUGUGGAGCCGAAGGGAAACCAAGUCUUAACAGGGCGAGUUAGUCAGUGUGAGUAGACCCGAAACCGGGUGACCUACCCAUGUCCAGGAUGAAGUUGCCGUAAAAGGCAAUGGAGGUCCGAACACACAUCCGUUGAAAAGGGUGGUGAUGAGGUGUGGGUAGCGGAGAAAUUCCAAUCGAACCCGGAGAUAGCUGGUUCUCCUCGAAAUAGCUUUAGGGCUAGCCUCAAUUUAGUCUUGCGGAGGUAGAGCACUGAAUAUCCUAGGGGGCGUCAAAGCUUACCGAAGAUUAUCAAACUCCGAAUGCCGUAAAGAUGAUGAUUGGGAGUCAGACUGCACGAGAUAAGUUGGGUAGUCAAAAGGGAAACAGCCCAGACCUCCAGCUAAGGUCCCAAAGUGAGUGUUAAGUGGAAAAGGAUGUGGGAUUUCGAAGACAACUAGGAUGUUGGCUCAGAAGCAGCCAUUCAUUCAAAGAGUGCGUAAUAGCUCACUAGUCGAGAGGUCCUGCGCCGAAAAUGUCCGGGGCUAAACACUACACCGAAGCUGAGGAAUGACAAUGUCAUUGGUAGAGGAGCAUUCUUAACUGCGACGAAGCUGUACCGAAAGGAGCAGUGGAGUGUUAAGAAGAGAGAAUGCCGGAAUGAGUAGCGAGAGUGAGGUGAGAAUCCUCACGGCCGAAUAUCUAAGGUUUCCAGGGUAAAGCUGAUCUGCCCUGGGUAAGUCGGGACCUAAGGCGAGGUCGAAAGACGUAGUCGAUGGACAACAGGUUGAAAUUCCUGUACUGCAAUGUAUCAGAAAUGUGGGGACACAGACAGAGAGCCGGAGCCGGGAAUGGAGAAACCGGUGCAAGCGAGGUAGGAGAACAGCAGGCAAAUCCGCUGUUCAAUCUGAAGACGUGACGCGGAGCGAAAUUAAAGUAGCGAAGCCGGUGAGCUGGCUGUCAGGAAAAGCCGCUAUUGUGUACAUUGUACCCGUACCGUAAACCGACACAGGUGGAUGAGGAGAGAAUCCUAAGGCCGACGGAAGAAGCAUUGUUAAGGAACUCGGCAAAAUGACCCCGUAACUUCGGGAGAAGGGGUGCCCACUUCAGGGUGGGCCGCAGAGAAUAGGCUCAAGCAACUGUUUAGCAAAAACACAGGUCUAUGCGAAACCGUAAGGUGAAGUAUAUGGGCUGACGCCUGCCCGGUGCUGGAAGGUUAAGAGGAGAGGUUAGUCGCAAGAUGAAGCUUUGAAUUUAAGCCCCAGUAAACGGCGGCCGUAACUAUAACGGUCCUAAGGUAGCGAAAUUCCUUGUCGGGU